CCUACGGGUGGCAGCAGUGGGGGAUAUUGCACAAUGGGGGAAACCCUGAUGCAGCGACGCCGCGUGUGGGAAGACGGUCCUCUGGAUUGUAAACCACUGUCUCCAGGGACGAAGAUGACGGUAUCUGGGGAGGAAGCUCCGGCUAACUACGUGCGAGCAGCCGCGGAAAUACGUGGGGAGCGAGCGUUGUCCGGAAUUAGUGGGUGUAAAGGGAGCGUAGGGGGGACUGAGGGUGUGGUGAAAAAUCUACCGCCUAAAUCGGUAGCCGCACUCAAAACUGCUGUUCUUGAGUGAAGUAGAGGAAGGGGGAAUUCCUAGUGUAGCGGUGGAAUGCGUAGAUAUUAGGAGGAACACCAGUGGCGAAGGCGACCUGCUGGGCUGUUACUGACGCUGAGGCUCGAAAGUGUGGGGAGCAAACAGGAUUAGAUACCCGGGUAGUC
Molecule: ribosomal RNA, 440 nt
Filed under: uncultured bacterium
Lineage: Bacteria
Description: partial 16S ribosomal RNA
Rfam family: Bacterial small subunit ribosomal RNA
Source: RNAcentral